RNAcentral lists this transfer RNA (84 nucleotides) under Candidatus Altimarinota bacterium. Its description in RNAcentral is "tRNA-Leu". It matches the Rfam family "tRNA". From Rfam's summary of the family: Transfer RNA (tRNA) molecules are approximately 80 nucleotides in length. The record is from RNAcentral. Lineage: Bacteria; Candidatus Altimarinota.
GGGCGCGUGGUGGAAUGGCAGACACGCAAGACUUAAAAUCUUGUUCCUUCGGGAGUGUGGGUUCGAUCCCCACCGCGCCCACCA